AAGGCGUAACAAGGUUUACGUAGGUGAACCUGCGUUCAGUGGUUUGGUCUUCCCCUCAAACCACUUCAAUGAAUGUCAGUGUCAUUGAAGUGUGAUGGGGAAGUCGCUUAACGACGCUGUAGGCUCAGGCGCAAGCCCCCUAAAACUCCCUUCUGUCGUGGUUGGGCGUAAAAACGAACAACUAUUAACAAUGGAUAUCUUGGUUCUC
This 208-nucleotide unclassified non-coding RNA is filed under the name fungal sp. RNAcentral's name for it is "partial internal transcribed spacer region". Lineage: Eukaryota; Fungi. The record is from RNAcentral.